UAACCAAUCGUUUUCCGCAGCUGUCUGCCGCGAAUACGCCGUAGCUUUGGACUUCAGUCGCCAAGAGCACGCAGACCCAUGCUUCAGCUUCUACCAGUACGUGUGCGGCAACUGGGCUCAACGGCGUUCCGACAGUGUGCGCGACGUGUUACUGGAGACAUUCGAGCGGGUCGUGACCGGCAUGGCGAUGCGCACGCAAACACCCGUCCAGUUCCAGAAUCCGAGCCAGCGGGCCGCCAGGGCCUACACCAGCUGCAUCUCCAUCUUCAACAGGAAGGAGAGAGAGGAUCUCAGAGAGAAGAACAAAGAGGACGGAGACUCCAGACCUCUUGUCAGCAGCCCUGGGUGCUCCGGAAUCGACCAGGAAGAUGCGUCGUACCGAGCAACCACGCACGAGAUCGUGUUGUCUGGUGGCCACGCGUUCAAAUUUCUCCGCACCUGAUGAACUACUUGACGCAACACAUGAUGAAACAGGCGGAGGGGCGCGGGGCUGAACAAGUGGCAAAUGCUGCUCACGCCACUGAACUUGCGCGUGGAUCUUAAGCGCCCUCUUCGCACAGCGGAUGUUAACACGGACCCAAAGCGCAUUCAUUUCUUCAAUACUUCGAGAUUGUUGUGUGUAUUUUCGCUGAAAAUAGCGCUUAUUGUUAAACAUGCUGUCAGGCUGCUUUCUAA
This is a long non-coding RNA of Rhipicephalus microplus (southern cattle tick), 675 nucleotides long. NCBI's taxonomy places the organism in Eukaryota, Metazoa, Arthropoda, Arachnida, Ixodida, Ixodidae. The record is from RefSeq and is a predicted model, not a curated record.